This is a long non-coding RNA of Mus pahari (shrew mouse), 599 nucleotides long. RefSeq lists it as uncharacterized. Lineage: Eukaryota; Metazoa; Chordata; Mammalia; Rodentia; Muridae. The transcript has 3 exons. The record is from RefSeq and is a predicted model, not a curated record.
UUGAAGGAGAAGGCUGAUCUUACAAGCCAGAAUUGUGCCUGAUACCUAAAAAGUGUUCAGCAAAUGCUGCUGGCAACCUUAGAAGAGACUUGUGUUCCCGGCAGACGGCAAGAGUGAGACAGGGGAAGCAGGAGGACCAAGCUCAUUUGGGAUGUGAAUUUACAUCUACUUUAGAUUCGUAAGGAACUUGCCAGGGGACCUGUGAAAGAAGGGCGGUUAUCUGUAGCUGCCUAGAAAAGCUUCUUCAUGUGUCCCAUCUAGUCAAAUGGUUAAACAAUUCUGCGGGCUCCGGCUCUUCAUUGCUUAUGCUGUCUCCAGCUCUGCUCUAACUAACACGGGAGCUUCCUCCAAUCUAGAUUUCACAGAUAUCUGGAGCUCAUGUAUGGAAUGAAGGAGACCCAUCUUCUUGUCUUCUCCAGUGGGUAAUGACAUAGCCUGCAUACAUCACUCAAGGCCCAUCUCCCUCCUGCAUCCAUGUCACACAGAAUCUGUCUCUCUGGGCUCUGUGUUCUGCUGUGUUGUCAGUGGGGUAGUACCACAGUAUCAUUAUAAUACUAUACUAAUAAUACAAUAUUAUAAGAUUUGGUAUGUAGGUGGUA